GAUGAACGCUGGCGGCGUGCCUAAUACAUGCAAGUCGAGCGCAGAGACGAGGUACUUGUUCCACUUACAUUAGCGGCGAACGGGUGAGUAACACGUGGAUAACCUACCUAUAAGCGGGGGAUAACUUCGGGAAACGGAAGCUAAUACCGCAUAAUAACUUGAAACACAUGGUUCAAUAGUGAAAGAUGGAAUUGCAUCACCCAAAAGAUAUAUCGCGGCGUAUUUGGCAGGUGGUGAAGGUAAGGCCUAACCAGGGGAAGGUACAGUAGCGGCCCUAAGGGGGGGAUCGGCCCCAUGGGAACGAGACACCGGCCAAAACUCCACGGGAGGGCGGCAGUGGGGAACCUUCGCCAAUGGGCGAAGGCCUGACGGGGCAACGCGCGUGGGUUGAGGAGGGUCUCCGGUUCGUAAACCUCUGUUAUUGGGGAAGAACAAAGUUGUAAUUAACUAUGCACGUCGUGACGGUACCUAAUCAGAAAGCCACGGCUAACUACGUG
This 497-nucleotide ribosomal RNA is filed under the name uncultured bacterium. RNAcentral's name for it is "partial 16S ribosomal RNA". It matches the Rfam family "Bacterial small subunit ribosomal RNA", at positions 28 to 507 of the family's 1533-position model. The record is from RNAcentral.